AUGGCGAAUAGUUGGACUUUGACGGUGAUUGUCCUCCUAAGCAUCUUUAUGGCGAGAAGUCAGACAAGAGGAGAUCAAGACCCUGCAUCUCAACAGAAUAAAGAUUCUGCCAUUAAACAGCUGACAGAUUUCAAAGAGCAGAACUUUAUUCAAGGCAGUGAUGUGAUUUUACAGUGUGGCAAUGCCACUGUUAUCAGUUGGAAUGAAUUAAUUUAUAUUGUCUGGAACAUCAGCCUGGAAGGCAGAAAAUGUUGGCUGGGUUUGUCACCCAAGCUGGACGACACAUGUAAAGAUGGAAAGAGGCUGUUAAACACCUCAGAUGGAGUUUCUUUAGUCAUUCCCAAGAUUUCAACAAGAGAUGAAGGAUUUUAUUCGUGUGAUGUAUCAUAUAAAGCAGGAAGCUAUGCUGUAAAUGUGUCUGUAAGCGUUACCCAACUUUUCACCAAGCAGAGUGAAAACAAUCAAAGGAUUGCUGUCUGUCAGGCCACAUACACACAAAAGACAGCACCCACUCUUCACUGGGAACCUGCCUUGAACUUUUCCUCCAGUAACAGUUCUGUAAAGAAGCAUGGCAGGUUUUUUACGAUGGAGAAUCAAGUAUAUCUGCCGGACAAUGUCAACAUCAGUGAGCUCAUCUGUGUGGCCACAUACUCCUCCGAGUCCGGCUCUGUUCAGCACAAGAGCACACUUCAUCUUAAAAUUUCACACAGCGGAACACAAGAAACUUCCUCUUUUCCAGUGAAAAUUAUUGCCAUAUCAGUUGGUUCUACAUGUAUUUUUUUUUUUGUUGUAUCUCUGGCCGUGGUUUACAUACUCCGCAGAAAGCUUUACAACUUAAGUGCACUGAAGAUGCUUUGCUGCAAAUCUAAAAUCUCAACACCAUCUGAAGACAAACCACCCCAACCCGCUGAUGUUGAAGAGGUGGAACCCUAUGCAAGCUACAUACAGAGAGUCAACUCCAUCUACAACUCCUCAGCUGAGCUCUUCAACGCCUGA
Molecule: long non-coding RNA, 996 nt
Organism: Cyprinus carpio (common carp)
Lineage: Eukaryota; Metazoa; Chordata; Actinopteri; Cypriniformes; Cyprinidae
Source: Ensembl